CCUACGGGCGGCAGCAGUGAGGAAUAUUGGUCAAUGGGGGAAACCCUGAUGCAGCGACGCCGCGUGUGGGAAGACGGUCCUCUGGAUUGUAAACCACUGUCCCCAGGGACGAAGAUGACGGUACCUGGGGAGGAAGCUCCGGCUAACUACGUGCCAGCAGCCGCGGUAAUACGUAGGGAGCGCGCGUUGUCCGGAAUUACUGGGUGAAAAGGGAGCGUAGGCGGGGAUGCAAGUCGGGGGUCAAAACUACCGGCUCAACUGGUAGUCGCACUCAAAACUGCAGCUCUUGAGUGAAGUAGAGGCAGGCGGAAUUCGUAGUGUAGCGGUGAAAUGCGUAGAUAGUAGGAGGAACACCAGUGGCGAAGGCGGCCUGCUGGGCUUUUACUGACGCUGAGGCUCGAAAGUGUGGGGAGCAAACAGGAUUAGAUACCCCAGUAGUC
Molecule: ribosomal RNA, 440 nt
Filed under: uncultured bacterium
Lineage: Bacteria
Description: partial 16S ribosomal RNA
Rfam family: Bacterial small subunit ribosomal RNA
Source: RNAcentral